Ipomoea nil (Japanese morning glory) is the source of this 137-nucleotide long non-coding RNA. RefSeq lists it as uncharacterized. Lineage: Eukaryota; Viridiplantae; Streptophyta; Magnoliopsida; Solanales; Convolvulaceae. The transcript has 3 exons. The record is from RefSeq and is a predicted model, not a curated record.
UGACGAAGAGGGUUUUUGGUGAAGGGCUUGCGUCUAGGGGUCUUUAUGUUCUUGACCUCUAGAAUGAUGGAGUCCGUUGUGUGUUUUGGUGCUGUCUCAUUUUGUGUUUUGGUGUUGUCUCUUCGUUUGAUGAUCAU